RNAcentral lists this long non-coding RNA (257 nucleotides) under Panax ginseng (ginseng). RNAcentral describes it as "long non-coding RNA (PGIN_LNC012117)". Lineage: Eukaryota; Viridiplantae; Streptophyta; Magnoliopsida; Apiales; Araliaceae. The record is from RNAcentral.
CUAACCAUAUUGUUUCUUAUUUCACCUUCAAGUGGUCAAAAUCGCACCACGUUUGAAUAAAUCUUAACGAGCGAGCUUAAGCUGGAUUAGACAAAAUGGUGUGUAUGUUGAGCCCCUCAUCUUCUUUUUUUAUAUAUAGCAACUUAGAAGCUCAGAUUUGCAGUGAAAUAACUUUAGCUAGCUCUCAUCAUACAUCUGUGGGGAUUGUACACACUAAAUAUUGGCAUCAAGCAAAGUUAUGUAAAAAUGAAUCAAAA